CUGGGUAAGUCGGGACCUAAGGCGAGGCCGAAAGGCGUAGUCGAUGGACAACAGGUAGAGAUUCCUGUACCCGUAUAUAUGUGAAGGAAUGACGGAGAGAGGAAGCUGCAGCCAGCGGCUGGAAGAGCUGGUGCAAGCGAGAUAUCGGGAUGGCAGGCAAAUCCACCAUCCGAAACGAGAAGGCGUGAAGCGUACGGAAAGCUACGGCGAGUACGGAAGGCAGUGGAGGAACUUCCAAGAAAAGUUUCUAACGUUAAGUAUAUAUGGCCCGUACCGAAAAUGGACACACAUGGGUGAGGAGAGAAUCCUAAGGUGAGCGAGAGAACUAUAGCUAAGGAACUCUGCAAAAUGACUCCGUAACUUAGGGAGAAGGAGUGCUCAUAGAGAUAUGAGCCGCAGUGAAACGGCCCAAGCGACUGUUUACCAAAAACACAGCUCUCUGCUAAGCCGCAAGGCGAAGUAUAGGGGGUGACGCCUGCCCGGUGCUGGAAGGUUAAGGGGAGGGGUUAACGCAAGUGAAGCCCUGAACUGAAGCCCCAGUAAACGGCGGCCGUAACUAUAACGGUCCUAAGGUAGCGAAAUUCCUUGUCAGGUAAGUUCUGACCCGCACGAAAGGCGUAACGAUUUGGGCGCUGUCUCAGCUGUAGACUCGGUGAAGUCUUAGUACCUGUGAAGAUGCAGGUUACCCGCGACUAGACGGAAAGACCCCAUGGAGCUUCACUGCAGGUUGAUAUUGGGAUUUGAUGCAGCAUGUACAGGAUAGGUAGGAGGCAAAGAGAUGGAUACGCCAGUAUUCAAGGAGCCGCUGUUGGGAUACUACCCCUGUUGUAUUGGAUUUCUAACCGGACGACGUAGAGCCGUUGACGGGACAGUGUCAGUCGGGCAGUUUGACUGGGGCGGUCGCCUCCCAAAGAGUAACGGAGGCGCCCAAAGAUACCCUCAGCUUGGAUGGAAACCAAGCGCAGAGUGCAAAGGCAAAAGGGUGUUUGACUGCGAGACCCACAAGUCGAGCAGGGACGAAAGUCGGGCUUAGUGAUCCGGCGGUGCUGAAUGGAAAGGCCGUCGCUCAACGGAUAAAAGCUACCCUGGGGAUAACAGGCUGAUCUCCCCCAAGAGUUCACAUCGACGGGGAGGUUUGGCACCUCGAUGUCGGCUCAUCGCAUCCUGGAGCUGAAGUCGGUUCCAAGGGUUGGGCUGUUCGCCCAUUAAAGCGGUACGCGAGCUGGGUUCAGAACGUCGUGAGACAGUUCGGUCCCUAUCUGUCGUGGGCGCAGGAAAUUUGAGAAGAGCUGUCCUCAGUACGAGAGGACCGGGAUGGACGCAUCAAUGGUGGACCAGUUGUCACGCCAGUGGCAUAGCUGGGUAGCUAAAUGCGGAAGGGAUAAACGCUGAAGGCAUCUAAGUGUGAAACCCACUUCAAGAUGAGAUUUCCCAUUGCGCAAGCAAGUAAGACCCCUUAAAGACGAUAAGGUAGAUAGGUCAGGAGUGUAAGCAUGGUGACAUGUUAAGCGGACUGAUACUAAUAGGUCGAGGGCUUGACCG
Molecule: ribosomal RNA, 1542 nt
Filed under: human gut metagenome
Description: bacterial LSU rRNA
Rfam family: Bacterial large subunit ribosomal RNA
Source: RNAcentral